RNAcentral lists this ribosomal RNA (411 nucleotides) under uncultured bacterium. RNAcentral describes it as "bacterial SSU rRNA". It matches the Rfam family "Bacterial small subunit ribosomal RNA", at positions 505 to 916 of the family's 1533-position model. The record is from RNAcentral.
UCGUCAGCAGACAAAGGAAGAAGGAGGGUGCAAGCGUUAAUCGGAAUUACUGGGCGUAAAGCGUGCGCAGGCGGUUAUAUAAGUCAGAUGUGAAAUCCCCGGGCUCAACCUGGGACCUGCAUUUGAGACUGUAUAGCUAGAGUACGGUAGAGGGGGAUGGAAUUCCGCGUGUAGCAGUGAAAUGCGUAGAUAUGCGGAGGAACACCGAUGGCGAAGGCAAUCCCCUGGGCCUGUACUGACGCUCAUGCACGAAAGCGUGGGGAGCAAACAGGAUUAGAUACCCUGGUAGUCCACGCCCUAAACGAUGUCAACUGGUUGUUGGGUCUUCACUGACUCAGUAACGAAGCUAACGCGUGAAGUUGACCGCCUGGGGAGUACGGCCGCAAGGUUGAAACUCAAAUGAAUUGGCGG